GGCGCAGUGGCUAAAUAGACGCGAAGAAAGCAGUACUGGCGACUGGAGGUUACGACGCGCGUUGCGAUUUCAACUGGGGUUUUUAAAGCGGUUAAGUGUCCAGUAACCAGCGUAACGGCUUUGCGAAACGGGAAAACAAAAGUGACCAGUGGGUGAACGAGUGGCGGCAGGAGGCAAGCGGUGCGGAAGUGGGUUACAAGAGGAAGCAAAGGAAGUCAGGAAGUCCAGCUGACGAAAAAAAAGCAGUUUCAACGGUCAAUGAAGCAGUGCAUAGAACGGAACAAGCAGCACUUUUAGGAAGCAGGAUAGCAAGCAGUUUAAGGCAUUUUAGUUUUACCUCCUCAAAUCCCUUGAGAAAACCUGUGCCAAGGUUAAAGCCUCCAAAAGCUUUAUUAAAGGAAUUAAAAU
Drosophila melanogaster (fruit fly) is the source of this 408-nucleotide non-coding RNA. The record is from Ensembl. Lineage: Eukaryota; Metazoa; Arthropoda; Insecta; Diptera; Drosophilidae.